UAAGGUUUCGGGGUUAGGUUGGUUGGUCAUCGCUCGGUAUGUACUGGUCUCACUGAUUCCUCCUUCCUGAUGACCUAAUGCCAUUAAUUUGGUGUCUGGGGAAUUUGGACUGUUACUUUGAAAAAUUAGAGUGUUUAAAGCAAGCUAACGCUUGAAUACAUUAGCAUGGAAUAAUGAAAUAGGACGUUCGAUCCUAUUUUGUUGGUUUCUAGGAUUGACGUAAUGAUUAAUAGGGAUAGUUGGGGGCAUUAGUAUUCAAUUGUCAGAGGUGAAAUUCUUGGAUUUAUUGAAGACUAACUACUGCGAAAGCAUUUGCCAAGGAUGUUUUCAUUAAUCAAGAACGAAAGUUAGGGGAUCGAAGACGAUCAGAUACCGUCGUAGUCUUAACCAUAAACUAUGCCGACUAGGGAUCGGAUGAUGUUAAUUUUUAAUGACUC
RNAcentral lists this ribosomal RNA (437 nucleotides) under fungal sp. Its description in RNAcentral is "SSU rRNA". It matches the Rfam family "Eukaryotic small subunit ribosomal RNA", at positions 640 to 1077 of the family's 1831-position model. Lineage: Eukaryota; Fungi. The record is from RNAcentral.